CACAGCAACUUGGGAUCUGAGCUGCAUCUGCGACCUACACCACAGCUCUGGCAACGCCAGAUACUAGUUGGGUUCAUUAUUGCUGAGCCACAAAGGGAACUCCUAUUGUCAUUGUUUUCAGACUGACUAGGCCCACUGAAGAAAAGAAAGAUCGUUUAGUGGACUCAUUUGAAACUGUGGUGGAUUCAUUUGAAACUCUGAUCUUUGUCCGUUUCUUAAUUCUCUCUCUUGCUGUGCACUCUCCCAUAGGUAUAUUCAUGUAGCGGUAUACAGGCACAUGCAAACAUGUUAUUUAAAAGGCCUCAUGACACUUAACAAGGACAACUCUAAGUAGAAAAAAAAAUUCUGCUCUUUUAUCUAGUCUUGUUGAUUUCUUUCCACAGUUUCUUAUCUCAGAGCUCCCAGAGCUAGCAUGUUCUAACAUCAGAAUUAGGUAAGUGUCCCAAAGUCAUUCACCUAUAGAAUGCAGGAAGGUAAUAUAAAUGAGUAAAGUAAUGCCAGGAGCAGUAGAGGCUGUGAUGAGCUGCAGAAUACAACUCAGAGGGGACCUCAACCGUCAGCUCUAGCCAGCCAACCCAGUGCUGCCAGAGCUGCUUAUGUGGGGGGGAAAAAUGAAAGAAAGAAAAGGAAGGAAGGGAGGAGGAAAAGAAGGAAGGAGGAAAAAGAGAAAAAAGAAAAAGGAAAACGAACAAAACAUUUGGAAUUGUUCUAACAAACGCAGGUCAAACAAAACUUGGCUGUGGGUGAGCCUGGCCCGCAGCCCAACACAUUGCUUUAAGCUUCUUCUUUCCCUGUAAAAUUAUGUUUGGGUCCUGGGUCAACUUAGGUGGAAUGAAAGAAGAGGAGAAAUCAGGACAAUAGACCCAUAGGAGCCGCAAACCCCCAAGGAAAGGGCAGAAGAAGAGCCAGCCUCGUCAUUUAUCCCUCCCCCGCUUCCCCUUGGGUUUGGAAGUUUCUGUGGACAAAUCCUCAAGCUCAGGGAUUCUUUCCUCAGCCAUGUCCAGUCUACAAAGCAUCUGCACCAAAUCCAGAUUCUUCCUCUCCACUGCCAGGAUCAGGGGCGUCUUACUUCCUUCCCCGCUCACAUUGAC
Phacochoerus africanus (Common warthog) is the source of this 1091-nucleotide long non-coding RNA. RefSeq lists it as uncharacterized. The record is from RefSeq and is a predicted model, not a curated record. NCBI's taxonomy places the organism in Eukaryota, Metazoa, Chordata, Mammalia, Artiodactyla, Suidae. The transcript has 4 exons.